UACAAGGUAGAUUCUAUUAGCAUAUGUAUUUUAUAGAUGAGGAAGCAGGCACAGAGACAUCAAGUGUCAUGCUUCAUUUUACAAAGCUGGAACAUGCUGGAGUCAGAACCCAACCAGGCAGUCUUGCUUCAGACUCUCCGCAUCUAUGACUCUGUAACCGUCAGUAGCUACUGCCUCCAUCUGCUUUCAUCACUGCAGAGGCAGACAACACCACCCUGCAAGAUAGUCGACUUUCAGACUUGAAGCCACAUCCAUUCUGCUAAAAUGCACAGAAAGAAAACCAGAAGAGAGACAGCAGCAAGAGCUGCAGGCGAGGCUGGGCAUGGAUUCCAGGGGAAGGAGAUGACAGUGGGAGGAAUGGCCAUCAUUCCAAAAGGGCUGGAUUGCACAGCAGGGCAGCAUCGCAAGAGUAGGAAGGGCUGUUCAACAAUGUGGCCUCCCCUGCAAGAGUCACACCUGUUAUUCAGCCUCUGCUUCAGCGUUCCAGAGAGGAGGCUCCCUGCUGCGGCAAAUCCCAAUGCUGGACAGCUCUGAGCAGAUGAUGGUUCUUCUUGGUGUUGGUUCUGAACCCUGCCCCUCUAUGUCCACCAGCCUUUCAUUCUAGAAGACACAACCGUCAACUCUGGGAAGACUCGGCAGGGGGCAUAUUUCUGAAAGUUCUAUUUCCACAGAUGGUGUGAAAUCAGCAAAGGAAAAUGCUGCUUCUGUCCAGACAGCUCUUCCACUCUUUAUUCUCACUCUAUGAGUCACUGGGUUGACUGUUGAUUUCGUUGCUGAACUGGGAUUCCUUAACUUGCGCAUUCAUUUAUUCAAUAAAUAUUUGUUUCAUGUUUACAAAAUAGUAAGUACUACACUCAACACUGGGCCUUCAGUGUGACAAGAGGCAUAGUCUCUGUCCUCAGGGACCUUGUGGCUUAAUGGGAUAUUAUAAAAAUAGUCACACAGUGAUUAUCACCGUGAUGAAAGUGCUGUGGGAGAAAAUACAGGGAGCUAUGUGAUUGUAGCAGACCAGCCUGGCCUGGGUGAUGAGGAAUGUCUCUUCUUGGGAAGUGACACAGAAGCUGGAGGACAGGAGCACGAGAGAUCAGUCCAAGUGGGCAGUGACGCUACAUCAUCAGAGCAAGGAGCACCCGCAAGUCCAGGAGGCAGGAGGGCCUCUGACCAGGUUGAGAAACAAAGAGGACACCAGCCUGGCUGUGGGUUUAGUGAGCAGCGCAGAUUGCAGAGGGCGAGGAGGUUGCAAUCACAGCAUCAGAGCAUGACCCGAAGAACAAAGGAGAGACAUUUAAAGAUUUAAAGCAGGC
Molecule: long non-coding RNA, 1304 nt
Filed under: Homo sapiens (human)
Lineage: Eukaryota; Metazoa; Chordata; Mammalia; Primates; Hominidae
Description: HSALNT0299041
Source: RNAcentral